Long non-coding RNA from Oxyura jamaicensis (ruddy duck), 1935 nucleotides. RefSeq lists it as uncharacterized. NCBI's taxonomy places the organism in Eukaryota, Metazoa, Chordata, Aves, Anseriformes, Anatidae. The transcript has 2 exons. The record is from RefSeq and is a predicted model, not a curated record.
UCAUUGUCAUAGAAGUUAGCUUGAUAUCCGUGUGUGGGGGUUACACGCACGUGUGGAUUCCAUACCAAUCCACCCACACCUGCCCAAAGGAAACUGAAUUUUAUCCAGGUAUGCAUCUUUUGAAGAAUGCAUUUGAUAUGAGUGUCUGUCACAGAAGGAAAGACGCUGGGCUAUAGUAGCUGCACACAGGAGCUGUAUUUUCACAGCCUAUCAGGACCAUGCAAUUUGUAAUUCAGAAAUAAUCCAGCUUGUUUAAAUUUUUUCACCAUAGUUUAGGGGAGAAAGCAGGAAAGAAGAAUUAGAAUUCUGGCACUAGAGAAACAAUUGCCAAUAACCAAAGUUCCAUCUAUGAUUUUCAGGACUGUUGGAAGAACAUGGGGGAAGAAAGAAGAUGAGGGCAUGGGGGGAGGCUAUCUGUAGCACCUGUACUGUAUUGGCUAAGUAGACGCUGGCAAGAAACAUAUCAUAUGAAUAUUGCGUCUUAAAUCAUUUGUCUUCUGAGAAUCCUACUUAUCUAGCCCAAAACUUUAAAUUCCCUACUAUAAAGGGUACCUGUAAUCUUGUUCUUCUGUCUUGAUACAAAGUGGAUAGAGGUGUGUCUUCUAAGUAACAAUAUAGCUCAACCAACAAAUUGUUUUAUUAGUCUAGCUUCUACUUGCCUUUGAAUAACACUUGUCAUUGUUUCUCAUUCUUUGCUGAAAAACAUUCAUAGAAUUCUUAAUUUUAUUACUAAAAGUACAUUGCCAUUGUCAUCUUAAAGGCUGUUUGUCAUAUCUGUUAGAGGACUAGCUCAUGUCAAGUCUUCACGUCUUCAGAAUUAAGUUCUCGUUUUGCUUGCCCUUGUUAAUAAAAAAGCAAUUCUGAUUCCUUGGUGAACUAACAGAAGUGUUGUUGCAGGGAUAAGGGAGAAUAAUUAUUCCCUUUUUCUUGAUGCUGAUGAGGCUUCAGGUAGAAAAAUGCUGAACCAACCUUUAAGACAGAUGCAAACAAGCUGAAGUGAAUCUGAGGAAGUCUAACGAGAACAUAUUAAGAAAACAGACUGACCUAUGACAGAGGCUGUGAGAGAAAAGGGUCCGUUCAGUCAAGAAACUAAAAGGCUAGGAGUGUGAGAAGGAACACAAAUCUUCCUUGUCUCUUGGAUGUUUCAUUCCUACUUCAGGUUCAGCAAAAUUGAAUUGCUUUUCAUCUAAAUAUCUUUCCCUUCCCCCUGUCUUCCACUCACUGGUGACUUCAGUGUUCUCCUAGUCAUUCAGGUUUGUGCACUUAACAACUUUAACUCUCCCCUGCCAUUUUCUUUCAACUACUGUGUUACUUACUCCCUUUAUUUUGUUUCUUCCCUCCCCACCAAAUCUGUGCUAUGUCAAAUUUCUCAUUUGUUGCAAUGUAAAUCUACCUCUGCCUCAACUUCCUCUCUGUCUGCUAAGGUAAUUGUAUUACUUUUGCAGUAUUCCUAACCCCACCCCUCUGGAAAAAUUUCGAACCUCUCACCCUUGGCUUUUCCAAUUCAGCAGAAUUACCCCCACUUGUACCUCUCUCGUAUUUCUUUCCUACUUCUUUUGUGCUUGGAACUAACCUUUCUCUUUCCUCCGUAUCUCCUUCUAUUUCUGUUGGAUUCCUCCAGAAAGUACUUUCCUCAUAUAUGUUUCCUUUUUUAUUGUCGUAUUCCUGGAGUCCUGCUGGCCCAUACCAUGAGCUGCCAGCUCCACUCCUACUGUGUUUUUGCAGUAUCUGCGUGGUGAAUUUUAAAGCAAUGCACAUUCUGUUCUUACUCUUAAGAUAAUAUACUGUGCAUGGUUAGGGUGUGAGAUUCCUCAUUGCCUGGCACUUUCUGCCCUGCCUUUGUUAAUCCCUAGCAGUCUGUCAGACUUAGUAUGAGAGUGGUACAGAAAAGAGAAGGAAAAAAAUAAACAAAUUAUUCUGAUAAUGCUGCAGGGA